Molecule: ribosomal RNA, 200 nt
Filed under: uncultured bacterium
Lineage: Bacteria
Description: partial 16S ribosomal RNA
Rfam family: Bacterial small subunit ribosomal RNA
Source: RNAcentral
AUUGAACGCUGGCGGCAGGCCUAACACAUGCAAGUCGAGCGGGGUUUUCGGACCUAGCGGCGGACGGGUGAGUAAUGCGUAGGAAGCUGCCCGAUAGAGGGGGAUACCAGUUGGAAACGACUGUUAAUACCACAUAAUGUCUACGGACCAAAGUGUGGGACCUUCGGGCCACAUGCUAUCGGAUGCGCCUACGUGGGAUU